Molecule: non-coding RNA, 27 nt
Filed under: Mus musculus (house mouse)
Lineage: Eukaryota; Metazoa; Chordata; Mammalia; Rodentia; Muridae
Source: RNAcentral
UGAUGGAAUUUGGCGCUUGGACUGCCU